Molecule: long non-coding RNA, 1823 nt
Filed under: Pan troglodytes (chimpanzee)
Lineage: Eukaryota; Metazoa; Chordata; Mammalia; Primates; Hominidae
Description: long non-coding RNA NONPTRT002274
Source: RNAcentral
CACCAUUGCCAUGCCUCUGUGUGCUCCAGAGUAUUCGGUGGUACAGGUCCAAGGGAUGGAUGCCAUGGAGAUAAAGUCCCUGGCCCAGGGCCCCCCAGCCCGAGGGGCAGGAGACCUUUCCAUGCCUCUGGGAUGUUUUUGUUUAUUUCUAACUCUGAGCUCCUUCUCUGUGGGGGAGGAGCUUCCCUUUCCGUCUCCAGGGCUGCUGAGAAAAUGUUGGACAGAGGAAGGAAGGCAGGGCAGGGCCAGGCUGCAGCUAGCAUCUGGACUGUUGGCUAAGGCUGGUGAUGGCACAGAAGACCCUUGCCCCCUUUUACAGCUUCUCGCCUAGAAGCCUGGCCCAGAUGCCUGAAUUCCCACCUUCCAUGCACUUAGCCCUGGGGCUUGCAGUUUUGCCAGGUCCUUACUGCCUCCUCCCUCCUGUGGCCUGCCCGGAGGGGCACACAAGCAAAGCCAGUGCCUCUGUGGACAGGCAGCUUAAGACAUUAGGAGACAAAUGAAGGAAGGAGGCAAAACUUCCAAGGCCGGACUAUCUCCUCUGGACCAGAGUUUCGGCCUGCUGGGAAUGGAGUCACCAGCCCCGGGGGGGCUGACAGGUGGCUCCCGCCUGCAGAGCUGUAACUCAUCCCUGCUGCUGAACAGGAAAGGGCCUGCCUUACCCAGACCCCAUCCUCCAGAAAGGGUUAGUCAGGCAAGUGUGCUGAGAGGCCCCUGGGAACCUCGUCUCGAUUAACCCAUCAGAAAGCAGCCCAUCCUUUGCACCCAGCUCUCAGAUGGAAAAGUGAAGCCCAGAAGGAAGGGACCUGACACGGAGGCUUCCUUGGUAGCGUUUCAGUCUCAAGGGAAGAACUGUGGGCCUCCCCUGGAGCACUGGUGAAGGAAGGGGUUGGUUUGGAUAUUGUCUCCUGACUGGGAUAUGGGCAGGACUGACAGGGAGCUGGAGUCCUAACGAAGCCUGGGCUAGGUGCAGGAAGAACCAACCCAGUGGUCUCCUGACAUCUCCCAUGCCCCCACCGCAGCUGGGUCACCUCCGGAAUAAGGAAGAGAGAGCUGGAGGUGGAGGAACUAAGGACCUUCUUUGCCAGGUGGGGACUUAAAGCAUACAGUGAAGUUGUUCUCUGAAAUUCCUCAUCUGCCUUAAGUCUGGACCCAUCAAAGAAGAAAACAAUGACCACUGGUCCUUUCCCAGAGUUUUCUCUGACUGAACUCCUGUCACAGGAAGAAAGACUGAAGCCUGCUCACACACCUGGACAGAUUUUGCAAACCGUUGUCUGCUCUGUGAGCCCAACAGACUUUGUCCCAGGCCACUGUAUGUUCUUCAAGCCCACUGAAUUCCCCUGAAAAUCAUUUACUAGCCCCCUGAAAUUACCCACACUUCCUCAUUGCUCAUCUGUACCCCAUUUCGUGGUGGGGCAGUCACUCUGAUUUCCCCUUGCAUGCUAAUGAAUGUGUAUUCCAUUUCUAUUCUGCUUUUAUGAGCUGACUUUUCAGUGAACCUUCAGAGGGUAAAGGGGAAGUUUUCCCUUGGCCCCUGCACCGCAAUUGGUAAGGUCCAAAAUGUUAAAUGGAAAAUUCCAGAAAUAGCUGGUCGUGAUGGCUCCCGCCUGUAAUCCCAGCACUUUGGGAGGCCGAGGUAGGUGGAUAGCUUGAGGUCAGGAGUUCGAGAGCAGCCUGGCCAACAUGGUGAAACCCUGUCUGUACUAAAAGUACCAAAAUUAGCUGGGCUUGGUGGCGCACGCCUGUAGUCCCCGCUACUUGGGAGGCUGAGGCAGGAGAAUCACCUGAACCUGGGAGACAGAGGUUGCAGUGAGCAGAGAUCGCAC